Molecule: long non-coding RNA, 545 nt
Filed under: Homo sapiens (human)
Lineage: Eukaryota; Metazoa; Chordata; Mammalia; Primates; Hominidae
Description: HSALNT0300064
Source: RNAcentral
GCUUAUGGAUAUGAAAAGGCUUUCCCAAAGAAGCCAUGGAGUAGAAUCCAGGUCUCCCAGUUCGUGAUCAGUCUUCCAUCUCCCUGGUGGGCCAGAGAUAUUUCAAGUUGGCAGAGUCAAGCAUGAGCAAGGAGAUGGUGUGGGGCAGAGUGUGAACCAUAUAUUCCUAGACCCCAGGACCCAAUUGUAGCCACUUCAGCUGGCCCAGGCUUUCCCGAAAUGUGAAGACAGCAAACUCCCACUCUUCCUCCUGCAGACUGGUGGCAAAAACACAAAGUCCACUUGAGACCAUGAAGUCCAAGGAUCUUUUCUUAUUCCUGGAAUAUACUAGGAAAAAUACAGGCACCGUGCAGCGGGUGCUGUGUUCUAGCUGCUCUGUUAACUGCCAGUUACCUCAUUUGAUCCUGAUGACAACCCUUGGGUAGGUAUUGUGGUUACCUCCAUUCUAUCUCUGGAAGAACUAAGAAUGGAGGUUAAGUAACUUUCCUGAGGCUCCUUAGCUAAGUCUCUAGGACUGGAAUGGAGCCAGGCAGCCUGACUCAAGA